Molecule: long non-coding RNA, 553 nt
Filed under: Helianthus annuus (common sunflower)
Lineage: Eukaryota; Viridiplantae; Streptophyta; Magnoliopsida; Asterales; Asteraceae
Description: sRNA HanXRQr2_Chr09g0386311
Source: RNAcentral
GGAUGUCUGGUCGAUCAAGAACAGGAGAGGGCGACCUCCCUCAUCCUCAAAACCCUAAAAUUCACUAAACCCACAAAUUGAAGGCUCAAUCCAAGUUGAAAUCAAAAUCUGAACAUGGAAUCGUGAUUACCUCGUCAAAAGGAGUCAUAAGUUUGACGCUAAACGAGCUAGGUGGAAGCUUGAGGACGAAGCGGGUCAAACAAAUCAAUAAGGAAAAGUAAGGCAUAGUUUGGAUGCGAGGAUAAAUCGGCCUAUGAAUUAGCGAUGCUAUGAAUUAGCGAUUAUUGAGACAAGGUAUUAAAACGGGUCAAUAUGUUGAUCCGAACCAGGUGAAUGUUAUAUGCUUCCGCAUGAAGAUCAAGCCACAAGCAAGAACCGAACACACCUCUCAAUGAAGCUUCCGCAUUCGAUCUAGUUUUCUUUUAAUAAAAGUGGAUUAUGUAAACACUUUUAACGAUGUUUUGGAUGUUGUAAACAUGUUUAAAUACUUAUGAUGUAAAAGUUUUUGUUAAGUGGCAUUUUUCAUAUAAAAUGCUUACUUUAAUGUUAUGUA